RNAcentral lists this ribosomal RNA (465 nucleotides) under Vreelandella stevensii. RNAcentral's name for it is "partial 16S ribosomal RNA". It matches the Rfam family "Bacterial small subunit ribosomal RNA", at positions 338 to 795 of the family's 1533-position model. Lineage: Bacteria; Pseudomonadati; Pseudomonadota; Gammaproteobacteria; Oceanospirillales; Halomonadaceae. The record is from RNAcentral.
CCUACGGGUGGCUGCAGUGGGGAAUAUUGGACAAUGGGCGAAAGCCUGAUCCAGCCAUGCCGCGUGUGUGAAGAAGGCCUUCGGGUUGUAAAGCACUUUCAGUGGGGAAGAAAGCCUUGGGGCUAAUACCCUCGAGGAAGGACAUCACCCACAGAAGAAGCACCGGCUAACUCCGUGCCAGCAGCCGCGGUAAUACGGAGGGUGCGAGCGUUAAUCGGAAUUACUGGGCGUAAAGCGCGCGUAGGCGGUCUGAUAAGCCGGUUGUGAAAGCCCCGGGCUCAACCUGGGAACGGCAUCCGGAACUGUCAGGCUAGAGGGCAGGAGAGGGAGGUAGAAUUCCCGGUGUAGCGGUGAAAUGCGUAGAGAUCGGGAGGAAUACCAGUGGCGAAGGCGGCCUUCUGGACUGACACUGACGCUGAGGUGCGAAAGCGUGGGUAGCAAACAGGAUUAGAUACCCCUGUAGUC